CCUUUGCCCUUUUUCAAUUGCGUAGGAAAAGGAAACUAACAAGGAUUCCCUUAGUAACGGCGAGUGAAGCGGGAAGAGCUCAAAUUUGAAAUCUUCAAGGUUUUACCUUGACGAAUUGUAGUUUAAAGAAGUGUUUUCUGUUGAAGUUUUGGUAAAAGUUCUUUGGAAUAGGACAUCAUAGAGGGUGAGAAUCCCGUAUUUGACCAUUAUUUUCAGCUGUGUGAUACACUUUCAAAGAGUCGGAUUGUUUGGGAAUGCAGUCCAAAAUGGGUGGUAAAUUUCAUCUAAAGCUAAAUAUUGGCGAGAGACCGAUAGCGAACAAGUACCGUGAGGGAAAGAUGAAAAGAACUUUGAAAAGAGAGUUAAACAGUACGUGAAAUUGUCAAAAGGGAAGCGUUUGACACCAGUGUUGUUUUCUCGAAAAUCAAUUAAAAAAAGUUGGAUUUUGUGUUGUAUUGACCUUAACAGCUUGCUUCACUCUUUUCCUGCUUUUUUUAAUGCACUUUUCGUUUAACAAGUCAACAUCAGUUUCUUUUGUUGUAAAAGGGUCAUUGGAAGGUGGCUUUCUCUUCGGAGAAAGUGUUUAUAGCCUUUGAUCUCUGCAAUCGGAGAGACUGAGGUCUGCAGCGUAGAUCCUUCGGGGUUAGAUACAUUUGUGCUAAGCUACAGCUUUUCAUAGA
Molecule: ribosomal RNA, 680 nt
Filed under: Piromyces sp. 3a
Lineage: Eukaryota; Fungi; Neocallimastigomycota; Neocallimastigomycetes; Neocallimastigales; Neocallimastigaceae
Description: eukaryotic LSU rRNA
Rfam family: Eukaryotic large subunit ribosomal RNA
Source: RNAcentral